UGUUUCAUUAGGGCAUUUCACUUCUGAGUUUCUUGCCACAACUCUCUAGUGGCGACUCAAUUCCUUUGUUGCUCUGCUUUCCAUCUUCCGCCAGCGCAUCCAGUGGAGAUCGACGAGAGCCCGUUCUUGGAGUCGGCGUCACACUGCACAGCUUCUUCACUGGAGACCAUUUUCUCAGUUGACCUCGCACCAUAGUGCUUCUCCGCCAGCGAUUGUGUCGAAUGACCACUAUAGAAGCAUCUCCGACGAGAUAUUUGAACCACUGACUAUGCAGUAGUGAAGAACAAUUUUUUCCUGCUUUACCCAAACAAGACAACGAAAAAGUUGUUGUCAAUCUCAGGAUGAGAGGGGCGAAUUUUGGAGCUUGAGUGUGACGACUGCGGCUACUUUGACUGGGUUGAAAAGGAAAAAUCAAGUGGUGAAUCGAGUAACAUUGAUGAAGCGGUGAACGCCGUGGCCAAUGAAGAAUUCGAAGAGUUGCCAAGCGUGUUUGACUCUCUUGCUCGAAUAGCCAUCAAACAAGGUGUCAAGAUUUCAGCGAACAUGAUAUUUUGUAAGGAAAAAGGACACGUGAAGGAGUGUGGGAAAGGAAAGGGGCCGGCACAGCAUGUUUAGUAGUUAGUUGUUGAACGAGUUGUAUUGUAUUGUGUCCGUUUUGUAUUAGCGAUCAAAAAUUGGUAUUGUGAGAGAAUAUAUGUACUUGGCAUCAGUGUAGAAGAUCAGCUCUGCAACAUUGUAUUAGCUUCAGUUUGGUGAACAUUGUAUUAGCUAUCGCAGGUUCAUUAUUGACAUUUCUGAUCUUAAUUCUCUCUUGCUA
Molecule: long non-coding RNA, 817 nt
Organism: Olea europaea var. sylvestris
Lineage: Eukaryota; Viridiplantae; Streptophyta; Magnoliopsida; Lamiales; Oleaceae
Exons: 2
Source: RefSeq, a predicted model, not a curated record